Molecule: unclassified non-coding RNA, 520 nt
Filed under: Hevea brasiliensis (rubber tree)
Lineage: Eukaryota; Viridiplantae; Streptophyta; Magnoliopsida; Malpighiales; Euphorbiaceae
Source: RNAcentral
GUUUGUGCUUGUCGUCGGGCCACUGCAGCUUGUCUCCUCCCCUACAAUCAAGUUUGUGGGGAUUCGAACGAGCUUGCCACUGCCAUCAGGGUGGGAGAUUGCAGCUCAGCUGCUGGUAUACUUUUUGAUAGAGGAUUACGGUAAUUACUGGAUCCACCGACUGCUGCAUUGCCGGUGGGGGUACGAGAAGAUCCACAAGGUGCACCAUGAGUACACGGCACCGAUCGGGUUUGCGGCUCCGUAUGCUCACUGGGCCGAGAUCCUCAUCCUAGGCAUCCCGUCCUUCAUCGGGCCAGCAUUAGUUCCCUGCCAUAUGAUCACACUCUGGUUGUGGAUUGCCCUCCGCCAGAUCGAGGCUAUUGACACUCACAGCGGCUAUGAAUUCCCCUUUAGUCCUACAAAGUUCAUCCCCUUUUACGGAGGAGCAGAGUAUCAUGAUUAUCAUCAUUAUGUCGGAGGGAAGAGUCAGAGCAACUUCGCUUCUGUCUUUACUUACUGUGAUUACAUAUAUGGAACCGAC